Long non-coding RNA from Hippocampus comes (tiger tail seahorse), 511 nucleotides. RefSeq lists it as uncharacterized. The record is from RefSeq and is a predicted model, not a curated record. The transcript has 2 exons. NCBI's taxonomy places the organism in Eukaryota, Metazoa, Chordata, Actinopteri, Syngnathiformes, Syngnathidae.
AUAUACAGUGCUGUUCAAAAUAAUAGCAGUGCAAUUGUGGCAACCAAUCUCUGAGUUCAUCAAUUUUGGGGAAGAAAGAAAAAAACAAAAACAGGUGUGAAUCAGGUGGCGCCUAUUUAAGGAUGACGAAGCCAGCACAGGUUGAACAUGCAUUUGAGGAAAAUGGGUCGUUCAAGACACUGUUCCAAAGAACGGCGUUCUUUGAUUAAAAAGUUGAUUGGAGAGGGAAGAACCUAUUAAGAGGUGCAAAAAUGUGUUGGCUGUUCAGCUAAAAUGAUCUCCAAUGCCUUAAAAUGGGUAGAAAAACCAGAGACACGUGGAAGAAAACGGAAGACAACUAUUAAAAUGGACCGGAGAAUAACCAGAAUGGUAAAGGCUCAGCCAAUGAUCAGCUCCAGGAUGAUCAAACACAGUCUGCAGUUACCUCUAACUGCUGUGACAGUUAGAAGACGUCUUUGUGAAGCAAAUUUAUUUUCAAGAAUCCCACGCAAAGUCCCUCUGUUACAAAAAA